Molecule: long non-coding RNA, 5609 nt
Organism: Gallus gallus (chicken)
Lineage: Eukaryota; Metazoa; Chordata; Aves; Galliformes; Phasianidae
Source: Ensembl
CGAAUAGAAAGCAGGGUUUGGAAGGUGUUGGGAAAGAAGGUCUGUUGAUUUUUCUUCCCUUUAACUUCAUUUUCAUACAGCAUGAAAUUCUGUGAUGAAAGAGAUAAAAUGAUGAGAAUUGUGAACUAACAGUCUCCUCUUGCAAACAGCACAAACUGUGCCCAUGUUAAAUUCAUUUCAAAACUGCUUCAUCUACCUUGAGUAUAAUAUUUCCUUUCAGAGCCUAUCACAUACAACACUGUAGUAGCAACCAUCUCCAGAAAAGAGAGGCAUGAAGAAAAGAUUGAGAGAUGAAAUAUGGAAUCUCAUUUUUAAUUUUCUGUAUUUGGUUAGAUACAUUUAAAAAAAAAAAAAAAGAUAUCAAGAAUAUCAAGAACUUGAUAGACUAUUUUUGUCUUCUGUUUUUUUUUUCUAAUGCGGUGAAGCUGUGAGAAUUUAAUUAUUUUUCUGAAAAGUAAAACUGGAGGGUUUUAGCACUUGAAGUUAAUUUCUGACUAAUUUCAAGACUGCGAAUGGGAAAGGCGGAAACAACAUACUUGGAAAUGCUUAUUGCUCCAAGCAAAUAUUUUAAAUAUUUCAAGAGCCUUUUUGACAGCUGAAGUGUGAAGAUGAAAAUGUAUUUUUAAUAGUUGAAGUGAACAUUGUAUGUUAUACAUGGUCAAUAGCAGAACAGUAGAUAUUUCUUGAUGGUUAUCAGACAUUCUGGGAAGAAAAUAACUGACCAUCUGAGCUAAUAGUAGAUGGAAAUGGACUGUUUUUUGAAAAGCUACACUGAUUGUUUAUGUUGACUUUAUAAACUAUGUAUAUGCCUUUGGCCUAAGGAAACAUGAGAACCUUGAGCUUCAGGAAGAACGCUGCUGUUUGUUUAAUAGAACAGAUUGGGACAAGAGGGCUGUAAAUAUGAAAUCACUUCCUGUAACGUCUGUGGACAACAUAGCUGCUUUCCAUCAUAUUUGAAAGUUGUGGCUGUCAGACAAAGUCCCCAGUGACAGAAAAAAGAGAAAUGUUCCCAUCUUCAAGAAGGAAAAAAGGAAGACUCGGGGAACUACAGCCCAGUGAGCCUCACAUCUGUGCCUGGAAAGAUCAUAGAGCACAUCCUCUGGGAAGACAUAUCAAGGCACAUGCAAGAUAAGGAGGUGAAGCAAGACAGCCAUCACAGCUUCAGCAAGAGCAGAUUGUGCCUGACCAAUCUUGUGACCUUCUAUGGCGAAGUGAUGGCAUUGGUGGACAAAAGAAUGGUAACUGAUGUCGUCUACCUGGAUUCUGCAAGGCCUUUGACAUGGUCCAGCACCACAUCCUUAUGUCAAAAUUGGAGACAUAUGGAUUUGAAGACUGGACUAUUAGAUGGAUAAAUGGUUGGGUGAUUGUAGCCAAAAGGUUGUUGUCUGUGGCUCUAUGUCCAGGUGGAGGCUGAUCACAAGUGUUGUCCCUAAGGGGGUCCAUCUUCAGACUGAUGCUCUUCAACAUCUAUACCAACAACAUAGGCCGUGGGAUCAAGUGUACCCUUAGCAAGUGUGCUGAUGACACUAAGCUGAGUAGUGCAGCUUAUACAGUAGAAGGGAGAGAUGACAUCCAGAAGGACCCAGACACUUUCAAAAAGUGAGCGCACAAGAAUUUAAUAAGGUUUAACAAGGCCAAGCGCAAGGUGCUGCACUUGGCUUGAGGUAAUUCCAGAUAUGGAUACAAAGUGGGAGAAGAACUCCGUGGGUGCAGCUCUUCAGAGAAGGACUUGGGGGUUCUGAUGGAUGAAAAACUUAACUUGAGUCAGCAGUGUACUCUUGAAGCCUGGAAGGCCAACAGUAUCCAGGAUUCCAUCGGAAGAGGGGUGGACAGCAGGGAAAGGGAUAUGAUUGUCCCUCUCCAUCCGGCCCUUGUGAGUUCCCAGCUGGAGUAGAGCAUCCAAGUCUGAGGCCUCCAACACAGGAAAGUUGUGAUGCUUUUGCAGAGUCCAGAGGAGAGCCACAAAAAUGAUCCAUGGACUGGAACAUCUCUCCUAUGGAGAUAGUCUGAAGGAACUGGGCUUCUUCAGCUUGCUAAAGAAAAGACUGCAGGGAGACCUCAUUGUGGCCUCCCAGUAUUUAAAGGAAGUUUAUAAACAUGAGGGAAAUCAACUUUUUACAUGGGUAGAUAGUGAUAGGACAAGGGCCAAUAGUUUUAAACUAAAGGAAGGAAGAUUUAGAUUUAGAUUAGAUGUCAGGGGAAGUUUUUACCGAGAGAGAUGUGAGGUGCUGGAACAGGUUGCCCAGAGAGGUUAUGGAUGCCCCAUACCUGGAGUUGCUUAAGGCCAGGUUGGAUGGGGCCCUGGGCAAUCUUAUCUAGUACUUGAUCUAGUGGCUGGCAAUCCUGCCUGUAGCAGUGGAGUUGGAACUUUAUGAUUCUUGAGGUCCCUUCCAGCCUAAACCAUUCUAUGAUUCUAUGAAAACUUUCUGAAAGACUCCUGCUCUUAGGAACAGAGAAAUACAAAUUUGUAUUCACGUCUCAUUCAGACUUCUGACUUAAUGCCACAGCAAACCUUGUCAUCAUUUACAGGUUUACAUUUCGUAUUUUCUUUUCAUUAUGUCCUUUGGGAAGAAAAGGCUGAUCUCUGCAUUUUGCACUCUUUACUGUACAAAAGAAUGAAUGUUAUGCCUGUAGAGAUCUUAAAGCAACAAAUUUGGAUGGGAAAAUAAUUUUAACUUUUGGAUUCCAGCUCACGUGAAGAACCAAAAGAACAGUGUCAGCAAGCAGUCAGAUCAUAAUUUAUCCACAGACUCAACCUGAGUUGAAUUAAGUGAAGAGGCAAGCUAGAAUAGGAUUUGGAAUAUUAAGUCAAUUUUUACACCCUGUACAGCACAGGCUACUUUUAGCCUUCCGAAGGUCUAAUAAAAAGCUCUGGAAUGCUCUUACCACCCUGCUGUUCCACUCCUGUGCCUCUGAAUGCCCUGCAGGAAGAAAAAGCACUGUGAAAAUCUAUAGUUUGCCAAUGUAGAGAGGAUAAAAAAUGUUGCUCCUCCUUACCUGCUCCUGUGUCCAAACUACAGUAUAGGAAAAUGUGUAUGGGAAAUGUUAACAAAUAUAAUAGAAAGGGGAGAUAGGAACUACUGAGCAGGGUAGCACUUUCAGCAAUAUUAAUCUUUCAUUGCACACAGUUGUGUUCUCUGCACAUCACAGGAAUGAGAGCACCUUAGAGGGACAGCCAGGCAAGGACAGCACAGACACUGAACAUGAUCCUCUGCUGUGGCUCAAGAGUAGGCUUUGCUUGCACAUAUGCGGAUUUGGGACUAGACUACUCUAUUACUUCUUUUUUCUUUUUUCUGUGCUGGUCCCACAGCCAUGGUGGGAAGAAAAUGCUCCCUUGUAGUAGAUACAGUGGAGCAGCAGAGCUGGAACCACUCUUCAUAUUUUUCAAGAUAAGCAUUGCUUGGAUGCAUCCUUCUUUUUAUGCAUAGACAUAAACAUCAGUCCUCUAAGGUAUGGAUUUAAACCAAAACCAUCACACUGUUUGUUUUUGAGACAGCAGGGAGAAUAAUGUUUAAUUCUCCCUAAAAGUCUUUCAGGCUGAGCCCCUGAGAGCAGUAGCAGCAUUGGAAAAAAACGUAUAGUUAGAAUAUAUGUCACCCAUAGUGGCACUCAGCAGUGAGCUAGAGCAGAUAUGUAUAAGAUAUAUCUGCAGCUAGAUAUAGCUAGAGAAGAUGAAUUCAGAUUAUGUCAGGAGCCUCAAGUCUUCCUUUGAGGGAGAACUCAGGCAAGCAGCAGACUUCAGUGGAAACUGCUGGAGUUCAAUAACUAUGUGAUGAUGAUUACCAGUAUUAUCAAUCUUGGCUGAUUGAUUUGAAAAAGUGAGUGAUUUGAAAAAGGAGACCUUUCAUUAACUGUACAGGAGGCUAUCCCUAUGGCAGAUACGUAUCAUACUCUGUCAAAUAUAAUGCAAUUUGUCAAGUCUUAUGUUGCAAAUUAUGAUAUCUGCUUGAAACCCUAUUCGCAAGCAGCCAGCUGGCAAGUGCAUUGCACACUGGCCCAUCUUUUACCACAGUAACAGGAUCAUCCACAGAAGAAGCUUUUUUGUCCCUAUAGUGAAAGAAGAAAUGACCUCAUAUGAAUAAAGCCUCUAUCUGACCUGGAAUUUUAACAGUGGGAUAGAGAAAAGAAAAUACUUCUCUGGAAUCAACCAGAAAUGAUAGACCUCUGCUACUCCUAUGUUCAACUCAGACUGUGGAACAGGUGUGAUUACACCUCAGAAAUGAUGGUGAAGGAAUACAAGGAAAGGUUCUGAAAUACAAGGAAAUACAAGGAAUACAAGGAAAAUACAAGGAAAAAGGUUCUGAAAGUUAUUAUUAUGGAGAGGACUGCGAUCUACCUAACAAGAGGAUUGCCAGGACUAGCUGCCUUCUGGACCAGCUCUACAGAUUACCGGCUUCAGCAUCUUUCUGGUAACACCAGUUACUGUCCAUCUGAAAAAUGAUAAUGGCAAGGCACCAUAUUUUAAAUUUUCUGGGUAGCAGUUUUAAUCUGGAGUUUUCUUUGUAAGAAGAGUUUACAAUACAAUUGGUUUCUGGCUCCAAGAUUAUCGAUAAUUUUUCAUUACAAAAUAUCUCCUUUUUUCCCUGUUUAUGACAGAAGAAUCAGGCUUUCUUGUAAACUAAGUAUUCACUUUCUUUUCUCUGUCUCUCAAAGCAAUUACCCAUUAGAAUAACUUUGCUUGGAAAUUAACUUCUCUAUCCCUAUCAAUUUUAAAAGUUAUCAUCCCUGCUUUUCUCAAAGCUAGUCUACAGUCUGAACAAGAAAUAAUAGUUACAAAAACCUGUUGUUUCCUAAUCAGAGUGGUUUGUUUUGUUUUUUUUAAAAAGAAUCCUUUAACCCCUGAACCUUUCGAUUUUCUUUUCUGAGACAAUUACCAUUACUAUGUGUGCAGAAUGAGUUCCUGAGAGUUCAGAUGUCCACAGUGUCUUGGCUAUCUCUGCAGUACAAAAUCAGUUUCCCCUCUAGAUGGUAGAAGAGAACAAACUCCAAGGUACUCAUACUGCGAAAACUGGGAUGACAGUAGAGAAAAACAUUGUUGCCUGUGAAAGUAUACUGCAAAGAAGCUGAAAAGUCAUGCUACCUGAAAUUAACUUCUGGAUGUCCCGAUGGUUCCUAACUUGGAUAAACUUGCAACUAGAAUUUUGGAAUUUUUUUUAUGAAAAUCUUUCAGUGACUAUGAUUUGCUUUUACAUGAGUCUAUUCAUGCCCUUUCUUCGAACUACAAAAUUUAUUUAUUUGUUUGUUUGUUUGUUUAUUUAUUUAUUUAUUUGCUCCUUAAUAUAAAGCAUUACUUUGGUAGUUCUGGACAUCUGCUGUUUUCUUUAUUAUAUUCUUCUCUUGAUUUCCUUAAAUGCAGUUUAAGCUGGACUGAAAUCGACACUCAUCCAAUAAUAAUUGCAUAGGUCCUGAGGUAUUUCCAUGAGCCCUUAUGUUUCUCGUAUUACUUAUAAGUAAUUAAUUCUUACAAAACUUCAACUUAUGCAAUUUCUUAUUUUGUAAAUCACAAACCUUCUAAGUUUGUUGUUUCAAGCUGUAUUACUUACAGACUCUGCUCUCAAAAUAUUCCUCAGUAAACAGUAGCAAAGGUCACAAAAAGAUCUGAUAUAAAC